CAUAGGCCUCAAAUAAUGUGUGAC
RNAcentral lists this ribosomal RNA (24 nucleotides) under Aedes albopictus (Asian tiger mosquito). RNAcentral describes it as "partial 28S ribosomal RNA". Lineage: Eukaryota; Metazoa; Arthropoda; Insecta; Diptera; Culicidae. The record is from RNAcentral.